Molecule: ribosomal RNA, 510 nt
Filed under: uncultured bacterium
Lineage: Bacteria
Description: partial 16S ribosomal RNA
Rfam family: Bacterial small subunit ribosomal RNA
Source: RNAcentral
GACGAACGCUGGCGGCGUGCUUAACACAUGCAAGUCGAACGAAGAGCGAUGGAAGCUUGCUUCUAUCAAUCUUAGUGGCGAACGGGUGAGUAACGCGUAAUCAACCUGCCCUUCAGAGGGGGACAACAGUUGGAAACGACUGCUAAUACCGCAUACGAUCUAAACUCGGCAUCGAGGAUAGAUGAAAGGUGGCCUCUACAUGUAAGCUAUCACUGAAGGAGGGGAUUGCGUCUGAUUAGCUAGUUGGAGGGGUAACGGCCCACCAAGGCGAUGAUCAGUAGCCGGUCUGAGAGGAUGAACGGCCACAUUGGGACUGAGACACGGCCCAGACUCCUACGGGAGGCAGCAGUGGGGAAUCUUCCGCAAUGGACGAAAGUCUGACGGAGCAACGCCGCGUGAGGGAUGACGGCCUUCGGGUUGUAAAGCUCUGUUAAUCGGGACGAAAGGCCUUCUUGCGAAUAGGGAGAAGGAUUGACGGUACCGGAAUAGAAAGCCACGGCUAACUACGUG